UGCUUUUGUGAAAACAUAUUGCUCAUACAGUAGGUACUUGCUACUUUUGGAUUAUAGGGGCUAAUAAAAUCCCCAUAAUCCAGCCACGACAUUUCAUUGGUUAGGGAUAGACGCGAAAGUGACCACCGAAAGGUACAUUGAGAUAGUUAAGUGAAUUUUGUAUUCCUAAUCCUUAAUGAAUUAAAGAAAGAAAAAAUAAUCAAAUAAAUAUUUCAAUAAAACCAUAAAUAUAGUGAUAGAAAAUUAUUAAUAUAUUUAAGAAGGAUGAAUUUUAUACAGUUGGAUCAUAAUUUUGAAAAAAUUCUUUUAUAAGAAAUAAUAAGUAAUGUGUUAUGGAAAACGUGACGACGAUCAGGGUGGUCCUCUCUCACGAUUCAAGAAACCUCGUUCUGGAACCGAUGUAUACACGGUACACGCGUCGUCAACGGAGCCGUCGACGUCGUGGAUGCUGCCAGAAAGAAAGUUGAUCUGAAAAUCAAACAAACAACCGACGCUGCGUUUCUGCACUUCCGUCGUCACCGUUUGUUUAUUGUCACUGAGGGAUCGCUGUUUUAGAAAAAUGGAUGGACAUUGAUUAAACAAAUUGAAGAAAACAGUUGUCUAAUAAUCACAUCUGUUCCUGGAUUACGAAUACGAUAAAUUUGAACCGGUGAAACUAACGGCUGGAUUAGUGAAUGUUGUCGCGAUGUCAACGAGGAGCUUUCAUCUUCUAUCUUUGACAGAAAAAUACGAAUUGUCCAGAACAUUCAUUCACAAGAAGUCCGGAAGUGAAAAAAUGGCAAGAGCUAAAAAGCAACAAAACUUGUCAAAAUGUUCCUAGACUUAUUGUCUCCACAUUUUUGUUACGGUUACUUAGUAUGCAUGUGCGGAUUCUGUACGCAUUUCAGAAAUACUUCUACUUCAAACACACGUGUUCACCAUCAGACAAGAAAAGAGAAGUGACGAAAUCUGGAUUGAAUUUCUCGAAUUAACAUCUUCGAGGGGGUAUUAGACCCACGUGAAUAACGUGGACCCUGAUGUUGAGAUCAUGAAUUAGAAAAAAAGGGCCUCACGGGUCGUCAUGGCAUGGAUGGGCCUCUGGAUUCCUCAGUGGGGGUUCCUCGGACAUUUCUUUCGUUUCUCUUACCAUUCCCGACGAUCCAUUGUUAUUUCUCCUCCUCACUGUCAAAAAUGAAAUUGGAGAAUACUGGGUCUGGUGAAUUCGUUCAGGAGAUUCUAAGGCACGAUUUAAGAGGUCAAAUCUAAACGAUCCUAGUUCUUGGAAGGAGAGAGCCAUCAGGACACGCGACACUUCCCGACUCAGAGGAAGCGUGUCCUUUUUUAUUUUCUCUUGUGCAUGGAACCCCAUGGUUACGAACCACUGAAAUCAUACUGAUGAUAGAUUCAUCGUUAUUAUUUCAGCAGAUUUUAUAUAUGUUAUCAACUAAUAUAAUUUGUAAAAAAAAAUUAAUUUCUUAGAAUAAAUUUUAUGAUACUAUUAUUGAUAAAUAAAUAUAAAAUGAAUUUAAUAACUUAAA
This is a long non-coding RNA of Apis cerana (Asiatic honeybee), 1517 nucleotides long. RefSeq lists it as uncharacterized. Lineage: Eukaryota; Metazoa; Arthropoda; Insecta; Hymenoptera; Apidae. The record is from RefSeq and is a predicted model, not a curated record.